RNAcentral lists this ribosomal RNA (482 nucleotides) under uncultured bacterium. Its description in RNAcentral is "partial 16S ribosomal RNA". It matches the Rfam family "Bacterial small subunit ribosomal RNA", at positions 32 to 523 of the family's 1533-position model. The record is from RNAcentral.
AAUCAACGCUGGCGGCGUGCCUCAGACAUGCAAGUCGAACGAUUAAACUUUCCUUCGGGGAAGAUAUAAAGUGGCGCACGGGUGAGUAACACGUAGGUAAUUUGCCUUCGGGUGGGGAAUAACUUGGGGAAACCCAAGCUAAUACCGCAUAAUGCAGCGGCAUCUUCGGAUGACAGUUGUUAAAGCUUUAUGUGCCUGGAGAGAAGCCUGCGGCGGAUUAGGUAGUUGGUAAGGUAAUGGCUUACCAAGCCUGCGAUCCGUAUCCGGUCGUAGAGGACGGUCGGACACACUGACACUGAAUAACGGGUCAGACUCCUACGGGAGGCAGCAGUCGGGAAUUUUGGGCAAUGGGCGAAAGCCUGACCCAGCAACGCCGCGUGAAGGAUGAAGUCCUUCGGGAUGUAAACUUCGGAAGAAUGGGAAGAAUAAAUGACGGUACCAUUUUUAAGCCCCGGCUAACUCCGUGCCAGCCGCCGCGGUAA